UACGAAGGGAGCUAGCGUUGUUCGGAAUUACUGGGCGUAAAGGGUGCGUAGGCGGUUUGACAAGUCAGAUGUGAAAGCCCCGAGCUCAACUCGGGAACUGCGUUUGAGACUGUUUUACUAGAAUUCGGGAGAGGUGAGUGGAAUUCCCAGUGUAGAGGUGAAAUUCGUAGAUAUUGGGAAGAACACCGGUGGCGAAGGCGGCUCACUGGACCGACAUUGACGCUGAGGCACGAAAGCGUGGGGAGCAAACAGG
Molecule: ribosomal RNA, 253 nt
Filed under: uncultured bacterium
Lineage: Bacteria
Description: partial 16S ribosomal RNA
Rfam family: Bacterial small subunit ribosomal RNA
Source: RNAcentral